Acanthosepion pharaonis is the source of this 116-nucleotide non-coding RNA. Lineage: Eukaryota; Metazoa; Mollusca; Cephalopoda; Sepiida; Sepiidae. The record is from the annotation of a GenBank genome assembly.
CUUGCGGCCACAUCACAUUGAAACACCGGUUCACGUACGAUCAUCGAAGUUAAGCCACGUCGGGGCCUGGUCAGUAUCUAGAUGGGUGACUACUUGGAAAGGCUAGAUGUUGUAAG